This 508-nucleotide ribosomal RNA is filed under the name uncultured bacterium. RNAcentral's name for it is "bacterial SSU rRNA". It matches the Rfam family "Bacterial small subunit ribosomal RNA", at positions 27 to 518 of the family's 1533-position model. The record is from RNAcentral.
GGACGAACGCUGGCGGCGUGCCUAAUACAUGCAAGUCGAGCGAAUGAUAAGGAGCUUGCUCCUUGAUUUAGCGGCGGACGGGUGAGUAACACGUGGGUAACCUACCCUAUAGACUGGGAUAACUUCGGGAAACCGGAGCUAAUACCGGAUAAUACUUCGAAACACAUGUUUUGAAGUUGAAAGAUGGUUUCGGCUAUCACUAUAGGAUGGACCCGCGGCGCAUUAGCUAGUUGGUGGGGUAAUGGCUCACCAAGGCAACGAUGCGUAGCCGACCUGAGAGGGUGAUCGGCCACACUGGGACUGAGACACGGCCCAGACUCCUACGGGAGGCAGCAGUAGGGAAUCUUCCACAAUGGACGAAAGUCUGAUGGAGCAACGCCGCCGUGAGUGAAGAAGGAUUUCGGUUCGUAAAACUCUGUUGCAAGGGAAGAACAAGUAGCGUAGUAACUGGCGCUACCUUGACGGUACCUUGUUAGAAAGCCACGGCUAACUACGUGCCAGCCGCGGC